Molecule: ribosomal RNA, 468 nt
Filed under: uncultured bacterium
Lineage: Bacteria
Description: partial 16S ribosomal RNA
Rfam family: Bacterial small subunit ribosomal RNA
Source: RNAcentral
GACGAACGCUGGCGGCGUGCUUAACACAUGCAAGUCGAACGGAAAGGCCCUGCUUUUGUGGGGUGCUCGAGUGGCGAACGGGUGAGUAACACGUGAGUAACCUGCCCUUGACUUUGGGAUAACUUCAGGAAACUGGGGCUAAUACCGGAUAGGAGCUCCUGCUGCAUGGUGGGGGUUGGAAAGUUUCGGCGGUUGGGGAUGGACUCGCGGCUUAUCAGCCUGUUGGUGGGGUAGUGGCUUACCAAGGCUUUGCCGGGCAGCCGGCCUGAGAGAGUGACCGACCACAUUAGGACAGAGAUACGCCCCAGAAUCAUACGGGAGGCAGCAGUGGAGAGUAUUACACGAUGGGCGGAAGACUGAUGCAGCAGCGCCGCGUGCGGGAUGACGGACGUCGAGAUGAAAACCGCUUUCACCUGUGACGAAGCGAGAGUGACGGUAAUGAGUAAAGAAACGCCGGCUAACUACGUG